CCUACGGGUGGCUGCAGUGAGGAAUAUUGGUCAAUGGACGAGAGUCUGAACCAGCCAAGUAGCGUGAAGGAUGACUGCCCUAUGGGUUGUAAACUUCUUUUAUAUGGGAAUAAAACGUUCCACGUGUGGGAUUUUGUAUGUACCAUAUGAAUAAGGAUCGGCUAACUCCGUGCCAGCAGCCGCGGUAAUACGGGGGAUCCGGGCGUUAUCCGGAUUUAUUGGGUUUAAAGGGAGCGUAGGUGGAUUGUUAAGUCAGUUGUGAAAGUUUGCGGCUCAACCGUAAAAUUGCAGUUGAAACUGGCAGUCUUGAGUACAGUAGAGGUGGGCGGAAUUCGUGGUGUAGCGGUGAAAUGCUUAGAUAUCACGAAGAACUCCGAUUGCGAAGGCAGUUCACUGGACUGCAACUGACACUGAGGCUCGAAAGUGUGGGUAUCAAACAGGAUUAGAUACCCCUAUAGUC
This 460-nucleotide ribosomal RNA is filed under the name uncultured bacterium. RNAcentral's name for it is "partial 16S ribosomal RNA". It matches the Rfam family "Bacterial small subunit ribosomal RNA", at positions 338 to 795 of the family's 1533-position model. The record is from RNAcentral.